RNAcentral lists this ribosomal RNA (514 nucleotides) under uncultured bacterium. RNAcentral's name for it is "partial 16S ribosomal RNA". It matches the Rfam family "Bacterial small subunit ribosomal RNA", at positions 28 to 523 of the family's 1533-position model. The record is from RNAcentral.
GACGAACGCUGGCGGCGUGCCUAACACAUGCAAGUCGUACGGAGAAUUAACAAUAAUUCUUAGUGGCGAACGGGUGAGUAACGCGUAGACAACCUGCCCUUUAGAUGGGGACAACAGAUCGAAAGGUCUGCUAAUACCCAAUAUUGAUUGAGAAACGCAUGUUUCACAAACUAAAGAUGGCCUCUAUUUAUAAGCUAUUGCUAAAGAAUGGGUCUGCGUCUGAUUAGCUAGUUGGUGAGAUAAAAGCUCACCAAGGCAACGAUAAGUAGCAGGUGUGAGAGGAUGAACGGCCACACUGGGACUGAGACACGGCCCAGACUCCGUCGUGAGGGAGCAGUGGGGAAUCUUCCGCAAUGGAAGAAAGUCUGACGGAGCAACGCCGCGUGGGUGAUGAAGGUUAUCGGAUCGUAAAACUCUGUUAUUAAGGACGAAUGAAUAGAUUGUGAAUAAUGGUUUAUAAUGACGGUACUUAACGAGGAAGCCACGGCUAACUACGUGCCAGCAGCCGCCGUAA